UUUGAGCGUUGCUAGUCUGACUAGCUCGUUCGUAAUACAUUAGCAUCUCUAAUUCGAAUUCGGAUUGACUCAGUGUAAUAGACUAUUCGCUGAGGACACUUUUAUUAGUGGCCGGACUAGAAACCAGUAGAAGCUUCCAACUAUUGUAGUCAUUUCUAUUUUUAGACCUCAGAUCAGGCAGGAUUACCCGCUGAACUUAA
RNAcentral lists this unclassified non-coding RNA (200 nucleotides) under soil metagenome. Its description in RNAcentral is "partial contains internal transcribed spacer 2 and large subunit ribosomal RNA". The record is from RNAcentral.